Passer domesticus (house sparrow) is the source of this 1163-nucleotide long non-coding RNA. RefSeq lists it as uncharacterized. NCBI's taxonomy places the organism in Eukaryota, Metazoa, Chordata, Aves, Passeriformes, Passeridae. The record is from RefSeq and is a predicted model, not a curated record. The transcript has 2 exons.
CGACUAUGGAGUCUACCAAGGCUGCUGAAAGACCCAUUGUGACAUCAGCAACUUCAAAUCUGGACACCUGUGUUGGAGCAGGCACUGCACUGCACCACUCGUGACCCUCCAGGCUCAUGAAGAUGGGGAAGGAAAGGAUAGAUUUUUUUUAGGUAGUCAGAUGAUAAACCAAGGAGGGGUCAGCACCCUGAACUAGAGGACUGUGACUGCAAGAAUGAUCAAAUCCCACCAGACACUGAUAUAAUGUGGGAUCUGCUGCUUCACCUGGAUGCCUACCAAUCCAUGGGGUCUCAUGGGACUCAUCCAAAAAUCCUCAGAGUUAGCUGAUGUCAUAAAAUCUCUCCUGAUGAUUUUUGAGCAGUCUUGGGAACCAAGAAAGGUCCUAGCUGAUGGAAGCUGGUGACCAUUGUCCUGAUUUCCAAGAAGGGCAAGGCCUGUCAGUCUCACUUCAGUGCCUGGCAAGGUUAUACGGAAGAUUAAUCUCACAGUAUUGAAAAACACCUGAAAAACAAUACAGUCAUUGGUCACAGCCAGCACAGCUUCAUGAGAAGAAAGUACUGCCUUCCUUUUAUGACAAAAUAACCCACCUUAUGGGUUCCUUUGAUCACGAGAAGCCAGUGAAUGCACUCUUUUUGGAUUUCAGAAAAGCUUUCAAUGGUGCCUCUCCCAGUGUCCUUCUGGACAAAAUGUGCAGCACACAGCUGGAUAAACACAUUAUGGUAUGGGUGAGCAACUGGCUCACAGGUCAGGCAUGAGGGUGAUAGUGAAUGGGGUGACAACAGACUGGUGACCUGUCACCAGUGGGGUUCCAGAGGGCUCCAUUCUUGACCUUGUGCUCUUCAGCAUCUCCAUAAAUGACUUGAACUCAGGAGUGGAAGGAGGAGCUGCUGACUUCCUCAAAGACAGGGUGACCCUACAGAGAGACCUUGGCAUACUGGAGAACUGGGCAAUCACGAACCAUAUGAAGUUCAACAAAGGAAAGCGGCAGAUUCUGCACCUGGGAUGGGACACCCUGGGCAACAAGAGCCUGGAGAGCAGUGCCUUUGAAAGUACCACAGAACUAAAUGCAGUACCAUUAAUUUGGAAGAUGGAAAAAGCAGUAAAGAAGAGCAUAGAAAAGGGAAAAUAAAGUUUUAUUUGAUUCUUUUAGAAACAUGCUAAAA